AUGCCACUGCUACCGCCUCCGCCGCCGCUGACGGCGCCUCCGGGGCGCGGGAGGCGGAGACUGGGCAGCCGACGUAGGCGACGAUCAAAGAUGAGGAACUGGGCGGAGCUGCCCCUGGACGUGAUGCUCUACGUCCUCCACAAGCUGGACCACGUGGAGCUCAUGUUCGGCAGCGCGGCCAGGGUGUGCCGCUCCUGGCACGACGCCGUGUGCGAGCCCGAGCUGUGGCGCCGCGUCGACAUGUGCGGCCGCUCCCGGCGCUUCCGGGAGACGGUCAGCCUCAACAAGGUGACGCAGCUCUCCAUUUGGUUCAGCGCCGGACAGUGCCGGGAAUUCUUCGGCCAGCAGGACCUCGACAACGACCUCCUCCUCUUCCUGGCCGACCGGGCACCCUUACUGAAGAGCCUUCAUCUUACCAAGUGUUGUGAUGUAACCAGCAAAGGAUUGACAGAUGCAAUAAAGAAAUUCCCUCUAUUGGAGGAGUUCGAGCUUUGUGAAUGUGAGAGAUAUGACACAUGGGUCUUUGAGGUUGUUGCCGCGGCUGAAGCACUUCAAACAUUUCAAUGA
RNAcentral lists this ribosomal RNA (567 nucleotides) under Triticum aestivum (bread wheat). Its description in RNAcentral is "partial small subunit ribosomal RNA". Lineage: Eukaryota; Viridiplantae; Streptophyta; Magnoliopsida; Poales; Poaceae. The record is from RNAcentral.